AGCGAACGUUUGCGGCGGGCCUAACACAUGCAAGUCGAACGCACUAGCAAUAGUGAGUGGCGCACGGGUGCGUAACACGUGGGUAAUCAACCCUUCAGCUUGGGAUAACGACUUGAAAGGGUCGCUAAUACCGGAUACGGCGAGAGAGGCUUCGGCAUUUCUCGAGAAAGCCUCGCAAGGGGCACUGAAGGACGAGCCUGCGGCCCAUCAGCUAGUUGGUGAGGUAAGAGCUCACCAAGGCGAAGACGGGUAGCUGGUCUGAGAGGAUGAUCAGCCACACUGGAACUGAGACACGGUCCAGACUCCUACGGGAGGCAGCAGUGGGGAAUAUUGCGCAAUGGGCGAAAGCCUGACGCAGCCACGCCGCGUGAGCGAUGAAGGCCUCGGUCGGUAAAGACUCUGUGGGAGGAGAGAAGAACGACGACGAGAGACGGCGU
This 437-nucleotide ribosomal RNA is filed under the name uncultured bacterium. Its description in RNAcentral is "bacterial SSU rRNA". It matches the Rfam family "Bacterial small subunit ribosomal RNA", at positions 29 to 477 of the family's 1533-position model. The record is from RNAcentral.